This 495-nucleotide ribosomal RNA is filed under the name uncultured bacterium. RNAcentral describes it as "partial 16S ribosomal RNA". It matches the Rfam family "Bacterial small subunit ribosomal RNA", at positions 28 to 507 of the family's 1533-position model. The record is from RNAcentral.
GAUGAACGCUGGCGGCGUGCCUAAUACAUGCAAGUAGAACGCUGAAGGAGGAGCUUGCUCUUCUGGAUGAGUUGCGAACGGGUGAGUAACGCGUAGGUAACCUGCCUGGUAGCGGGGGAUAACUAUUGGAAACGAUAGCUAAUACCGCAUGACAACAGUUAUUGCAUGAUAACUGUUUAAAAGGGGCAACUGCUCCACUACCAGAUGGACCUGCGUUGUAUUAGCUAGUUGGUGAGGUAACGGCUCACCAAGGCGACGAUACAUAGCCGACCUGAGAGGGUGAUCGGCCACACUGGGACUGAGACACGGCCCAGACUCCUACGGGAGGCAGCAGUAGGGAAUCUUCGGCAAUGGACGGAAGUCUGACCGAGCAACGCCGCGGGAGGGAAGAAGGGUUUCGGAUCGUAAAGCUCUGUUGUAAGAGAAGAACGAGUGUGAGAGUGGAAAGUUCACACUGUGACGGUAUCUUACCAGAAAGGGACGGCUAACUACGUG